GUAGGUGGCAAGCGUUGUCCGGAAUUAUUGGGCGUAAAGCGCGCGCAGGUGGGUUCUUUAAGUCUGAUGUGAAAGCCCCCGGGCUCAACCGGGGAGGGUCAUUGGAAACUGGGGAACUUGAGUGCAGGAGAGGAAAGUGGGAUUCCACGUGUAGCGGUGAAAUGCGUAGAUAUGUGGAGGAACACCAGUGGCGAAGGCGACUUUCUGGCCUGUAACUGACACUGAGGCGCGAAAGCGUGGGGAGCAAACAGGAUUAGAUACCCUGGUAGUCCACGCCGUAAACGAUGAGUGCUAAGUGUUGGGGGGUUUCCGCCCCUCAGUGCUGCAGCUAACGCAUUAAGCACUCCGCCUGGGGAGUACGGUCGCAAGACUG
RNAcentral lists this ribosomal RNA (373 nucleotides) under uncultured organism. RNAcentral describes it as "partial 16S ribosomal RNA". It matches the Rfam family "Bacterial small subunit ribosomal RNA", at positions 527 to 896 of the family's 1533-position model. The record is from RNAcentral.